This 361-nucleotide ribosomal RNA is filed under the name Escherichia coli. RNAcentral's name for it is "bacterial SSU rRNA". It matches the Rfam family "Bacterial small subunit ribosomal RNA", at positions 821 to 1182 of the family's 1533-position model. The record is from RNAcentral. Lineage: Bacteria; Pseudomonadati; Pseudomonadota; Gammaproteobacteria; Enterobacterales; Enterobacteriaceae.
AGGUUGUGCCCUUGAGGCGUGGCUUCCGGAGCUAACGCGUUAAGUCGACCGCCUGGGGAGUACGGCCGCAAGGUUAAAACUCAAAUGAAUUGACGGGGGCCCGCACAAGCGGUGGAGCAUGUGGUUUAAUUCGAUGCAACGCGAAGAACCUUACCUGGUCUUGACAUCCACGGAAGUUUUCAGAGAUGAGAAUGUGCCUUCGGGAACCGUGAGACAGGUGCUGCAUGGCUGUCGUCAGCUCGUGUUGUGAAAUGUUGGGUUAAGUCCCGCAACGAGCGCAACCCUUAUCCUUUGUUGCCAGCGGUCCGGCCGGGAACUCAAAGGAGACUGCCAGUGAUAAACUGGAGGAAGGUGGGGAUGA